UUGCAGCCAAUUAAGCUGACUGUGCUCUUUUCCCCAUGGGGGCCCAGUGUGCAGUGGCUGCAGACAGGAGCCUCCUGGGUAGUGUAUGCAACCUGUUACCUGUAUAUGUUGCCCUAAGGGACCUUGGAAACAACU
Bison bison bison is the source of this 135-nucleotide small nucleolar RNA. Its record names the gene SNORA70. It matches the Rfam family "Small nucleolar RNA SNORA70". From Rfam's summary of the family: snoRNA U70 seems to be exclusive to mammals and is a member of the H/ACA class of snoRNA which contain H (ANANNA) and ACA box motifs. The record is from Ensembl. NCBI's taxonomy places the organism in Eukaryota, Metazoa, Chordata, Mammalia, Artiodactyla, Bovidae.